This is a long non-coding RNA of Sphaeramia orbicularis (orbiculate cardinalfish), 137 nucleotides long. RefSeq lists it as uncharacterized. The record is from RefSeq and is a predicted model, not a curated record. The transcript has 3 exons. Lineage: Eukaryota; Metazoa; Chordata; Actinopteri; Kurtiformes; Apogonidae.
GUCAAAGGGAACCAGAGUAGGUGGACUGAAGCAUCAGAUUACACAUAUGAUACCAUAUAGACUCCUGUUCAUACUGUAUACAGAUUCAAAUAAACCACCCUAAUGGAGACCCACCGUGGAUCGGAAGAGCAUCGUGU